UAGGGAAUCUUCGGCAAUGGACGGAAGUCUGACCGAGCAACGCCGCGUGAGUGAAGAAGGUUUUCGGAUCGUAAAGCUCUGUUGUAAGAGAAGAACGAGUGUGAGAGUGGAAAGUUCACACUGUGACGGUAUCUUACCAGAAAGGGACGGCUAACUACGUGCCAGCAGCCGCGGUAAUACGUAGGUCCCGAGCGUUAUCCGGAUUUAUUGGGCGUAAAGCGAGCGCAGGCGGUUAGAUAAGUCUGAAGUUAAAGGCUGUGGCUUAACCAUAGUACGCUUUGGAAACUGUUUAACUUGAGUGCAAGAGGGGAGAGUGGAAUUCCAUGUGUAGCGGUGAAAUGCGUAGAUAUAUGGAGGAACACCGGUGGCGAAAGCGGCUCUCUGGCUUGUAACUGACGCUGAGGCUCGAAAGCGUGGGGAGCAAACAGGAUUAGAUACCCUGGUAGUCCACGCCGUAAACGAUGAGUGCUAGGUGUUAGACCCUUUCCGGGGUUUAGUGCCGUAGCUAACGCAUUAAGCACUCCGCCUGGGGAGUACGACCGCAAGGUUG
This 550-nucleotide ribosomal RNA is filed under the name uncultured bacterium. RNAcentral's name for it is "bacterial SSU rRNA". It matches the Rfam family "Bacterial small subunit ribosomal RNA", at positions 355 to 896 of the family's 1533-position model. The record is from RNAcentral.